UUGCACAGCGAACACCCAGGGAUGCUAACAUGGCUCUCCCUGGUCCACUAUGUCUGUGCUACAGUGACUCUGGUCUUUUCCUCUGCAUUACGAGAGUUUCUGUCUCUCAUACAUGUAUUCAGCUGAUCAGAACAAAC
Small nucleolar RNA from Dicentrarchus labrax (European seabass), 137 nucleotides. NCBI's taxonomy places the organism in Eukaryota, Metazoa, Chordata, Actinopteri, Moronidae. The record is from Ensembl.